CCUGCCUGGAAACGGGGUGGGAAUCCGCGUCACCGUUAGCAGCUAAAAUAACUAGCGUGCCGGGCGAAAACAAGAUUAUUUUGACGAUGAAAAUAUUCUUGAAGGAUUAAAGGGGCGCUGAAGUUGACGACCACGGGAGAGGGAAAGCAGAGAGCGGCUCCGACGACAGGAGACGCAUUCCUUGUGUGUUUUUUUGGGUUUCGUAUCUCAAAAAAACUCGUAAGUCGGGUCACCGCUCUCAGGAGCCACCGCUGGAAUUCCGAAUCGCACGUCUGCAGAACACUGACGGUACCCCGUACUGAUACCUCGACUUACAAGUUGAAGUUGUUCCAUGACCGAGCUCAUGAGCUUGAAGUCGAGAGAUGCGGACGGUCGCCUUGACGACGUCCUGUCCCGCAUCGCCAUGGAGACACAAGAGAUCCAAGAGCUGGAGCAGCAGCUGACAGACGGGCAGAUUUUGGCCAACGAGCUUCUGCAGAAGGACCUGGAGGGAAUCCUCGAUGGACUUCCGGAAUAUCUCCGAGGACUUCGACUCAAGGCCAGUGACCUGCAGGCUGAGAAUGAAGGACAUCAGCGCCACCCGGAGGACGCUCAGAGUCGCCGCAGGCAGCUCGACGACUCCGCCCGCGCGCAGCGAGCGCGUCUGACGUUCGGCGACGUGCGGCCGCAGAAGACGGCCGCCCGGCAGGAGGCGCCGGCGGCGCCGAAGACAGAGGCUCGGGCUCUGAAAAGGCAGAAGGCGGGGCCGGAGGCGGAGCUGAGGAAGUCGAGGGAGGAGCUAAACCAACAGUUCAGACCGCGGAAACCCGGCGCUGCUGCUUCCUGUUGUUAUCGCGCGAUGCCAAUAACGCAGCGAAGCAGCCCCACAAGCAGCGCAGCCCGAACCCAGGAGAAAAUGGUCGGACCGCAGGACCGGCCGGAAGACCGGAGAGCAGGAAGCGUCGCGACUGGGAGGACGUCCAGAGGAAAAGACGCUUCUUGUCCGUCGGGGGGCGCCGCACGCGCUCACGUGGACCCGUUGCGACACGACAAAAACAACACGAAGAAGAAACCGCAACAGGGAAACCAACAGCUACACCGCACGAACAGGUUUGCGUGUGAGAGAGAUGCGCGCGCACGUGAUGACUUGACAACAGUGUGCGCGCGUGUGCUGCGCGUAUGCGGCGAGGCGCGUUGCGUGGAGCGAACGCUGGACAAGAGACGAGCCGAACUUCGCGAGGCCGACAGACGACUGACGGACGCGCGGGCGCGUUUCCGCACCGAGCAGGUGCGCGCGCGCACACACGGGCCGCGGCACAAGGCGGGAAGCAAAAGUGCGUUUGUGUUCCAGGCGGCGUCCCGGCGCAGCGCCACCUGCCUGAAGCAGAUCGCACUGCGCCUCAGAGUUCUUCGCGAUGAGGAGGCGGAGCUUAGCAGGAGGAUGAGGGCGGAGCAUCAGCGUCUGAGAGAAGUGAAGGCGGAGCUAAAGGAUCGAGAGGCGGAGUCCCAAGCGCUUUGCACGACAAUACACAUGGCCACGCACAAACUAUCUGAGCUCACGUCCGCGUGUCAGGAGGCUCGUGCAUGUUUGGAUUGGACCCUCACUCAGGUGGCGCUAAAAACCACAUCCAAAGAUUCAUCAUCAACUCGCAAAUCAACAAAAACACACAAGAUGUGAGCGCCACACGCUGGAUUAUGGCGGCAUCGCACAGACAACAACAAAAGUCAACACGGAGAUGACGAAGAUGAGAUGAGGAGCGACAGUAUCUGCACCGCAGCGGGCCGCCGGUCCUUGCCACAAAGAGGCAGCAAAUGACUCACUUCCUGCUUGGAACAACACGUCGACAGCGCCAAUGUGCGCGUGUGCGUGCUGACCGUGGCCACGCCGCCGUCAAGAUGCAUUCGAGGGCCCGGAGCGCGAAGAUUCUGGUGACCUCUUCCGGGGCGUCGCUGACCUCCAGGUAGGCCGGCACCACGCGACCGAGACGACGUAAGUGACGACACGCGGACACGCCCAUCCUAAACACGCACACACGCACGAUGAUGUCUGACGGGACGCACGCACGCAAGCAAGCACACGUUACCUUUCCAAGUAGGCCGGCAGCGCCCGCGCGUAGACUCUCCUCAGCGCCACCUCGUGUUCGGCCUCCAUGUGCGUGAGCAUCAGACGCAGCACGUCGUCACGGCGACGGGCCCUCCCGGGGGCCGGCGAGGGACCGACGGGGACCGACGAGGGGGGGCUCUCCAAAACCGGCAGCAGGUCCAACAGACAACGCAACACAAGCUGCGCACGCACGCAACAACUGGUGUUAGUCAGGUGUGGUCGCCAUGGCAACGUGCGCGUGCGUGCGAUACCUGGAUGACGUCGGCGUUUUUUGUGCCGUACAGAAGUUUGACCAACGCCUCGUACAUCACGUCCGCCCGCUUCAACGCGCGCAACUCGCUAGAAGCCUAAAGACACAUGCGUGCGCACACACGAAGGACAUGAUUCACAUUACGUCUCACACACACACAACUAAAACAUUCAAACAAGUAAAACGCGCACACGCAGUGAAAUGUGUCUCAGUAUAAUGUGUGAAUGUGUGAGUUUCAGGUAUGAUUUUUUUCAGCUGUGUUUUUGUAGUGUGUGUGUGUGUGUGUUUUCCUUUCAAGAAGUCUGUGUGAGAAUAUUUCUGUCGUGUGUGCCCGAGAGCUUUUCACGAGUCUAGAUAAGUGGGAGAAAAAACAUCUAUUGUGUGUGUGUGUGUGUGUGUGUGAGCAUUUCCGUUGUGACUGUGAGUGUGUGUGUGUGUGUGUGUGUGUGUGCGUGUGCGUGUGUGUGUGCGCUCGCGUGCGCGCUCACCGUGUUGACGACAAUGUGGUGCAGGCAGCGAACUCCCAGCAUGCACUUUUUGGGCUCGUGGUGGUCGCUGAUGAGGAGGGCGGGGCCCAGGAGGCGGGGCAGGUGAGGGGCCAGGGAGGGGCGUUUCACCUGCGCCCACAAUGACAUCACUCAAGCUCAGCUAAUGGGGCGCGAGAACAGACUUUGGCGCCAUAAAUAUGAACAUAGAACGAUUGGACACGCCCCUUUUGAGACACUAAGCUAGAAGGUGAAAGUUGUUCACAUGUUCUCCCCGUGCCUGCGUGGCUUUUCUCCGGGCACUCCGCUUUCCUCCCACAUCCCACAAACAUGCAUGCUAGGUUCAUUGAAGACUCUAAAUUGCCCGUAGGUGUGAAAGUGAGUGCCAAUGGUGGUUUGUUUAUGUGUGCCCCGCGAUUGGCUGGCAACCAGGUCAGGGUGUACCCCGCCUCCUGCCCGAAGAUAGCUGGGAUAGGCUCCAGCACGCCCGCGACCCGCGUGAGGAGAGGCGGUAAAAGAAAAUGGAUGGAUGGAUUGAUUUUUAGAUAGAUGUCAAUGAGAGCAUUUGAGUAGUGUUAAUGAGAGCAAGACUCAUGCGUAUGAGAGUGUUUGAGUACUCCUCAGGAGAGCCCUUUAGUAGUUUGUGUGUGUGUGAAAGCAUUUGAAUUGUAAGUGUGAGCGCUAACCCUGAAUAAGGUCCCUAACGACCCCUCACACCAAAAAGAUGCCGCGCAUUGCGCCGCGAACGCUCACGUACGAUCACGACAAGGGUAGCGGGAGCACGCUUUCGACGGUCAGAGUUUGUAUUUCUUUUUCCAGUUGCGAUGUGAACAAGUUACAAACAAGGCCCGCGGCUCGCGCGGAGACCAUCGGGCGGUUUUUUGGCGCCGAUUUUUGCUUUACCCGACCGAGGCCGACGAACGCCGGACGAUCUCCUGUCUUCUACGAUGAUCCUGUAAGAUGAUCGAUCGAUCGUGCGCUUUAAGGCGUGCGAAAAGCAAAUUUGCCUCAAUCCCGAUAAUCCGGUCCCAAACGGAUCGGGGCCGACAACCUUAAAUAUCCAACACGACCGAGAAUCUUCGUGCGUGAGAAAAGCCAACAUCUCCGGAGUCACGACGCCGAGAAGCGUAGCCGAUGGAGAAGGGCCCUGAUUCGGCAACAAGGAAGCGACCGUAAACCAAAACGAACCCAUCUUAGCCGAUGUUGUUGUUUUAGUAUCGAAGCGGCUCCCCCGCACGGCACAGAGUCAUUUUAUUUAUCGACACCGCUUCCGCCGCCGUUCCUUUCGGCGACGGGCGGCAAACGUCGGCGCGUGGCCGUGUCAGGCCGUCUUCGCUUUUGCGAGAUCACGUCUGAUCACGCGAGAUUUCGAGACCGCCGGCGGAACGGAAUCUUUGCGUGUGCGGUGUUGUGUGGAGAUGAUCUGUGAAAUGCCUGAUUUUGGCUCUUCGUGUGUGGGCUCUGUAGCAGAUCCAAAUAAAUCUUGUGCAAACUUUACGCGGGGGGCAGGCCUUCGUUUCGAUGUCCACGCAUUUUGCCUUUGACGGGAACGUCGCCCCCCGGGGGCUAGCCGGGCCGCUAAAGGGCGCCGGCGGAUCGGGUCUUCGGAUGUGUAAUUGCCGUCUUUUGACGCGUGAUGAUUACGGUGGCCGAGACAGGUGACAACAAAUGCAAACGGGCAACAAAACGCAUUGAAACACACCGAACGCGAGCGCCCGCUUCCUCCGACGGUCUAACCGCUCCAGGUUAGCGGGAACGACGGACCGAGUGACGAAAUCUGAGACUUGUGCGAGUUUGAAUGAACUGAGUGGAUGACGGUUCUUAAAAAAGUGCUUACUUUCCAAAAUAGCUCGGAAGUCACUUGAACUGGGAUUUUCGGGGAGGAAAUGGCGGCGUUGAAGCGUUUUCCACUGGAACGGAUCACGUCCGCGUGACGAUUCGGCAGAGUGCGUCUUGUGAAGUAUGCGUGUGUCCUGAAUGAGACAAAGUACAACGUGGCCCACGUUGGCUGGCCAUGUAGGAAGCUUCUCGGGAAAUGAAUUAUUAUUUUGCUAUCGAAAGCCAUUCUUAAAUGAAAGCAAAUCGAAUGUUCAUGGUCACGGCGAUCCCGGCUGAGCCCGAUCGGCAACCGCGCGAGCUUUUUAGAAAGCGAGCUUGUCGAAGGCAGUAAAUUGUGUCACCUUUGAGCAUAAGCAGAACAUUUCCAAUACAUUUAUUUGCCCGCUCCCAAAACAGAACACUGAAAAAAAAACCCACCUGAAAUUAGCCAUAAUUUGCUCAUUUUCAUUUUUUACUACUUUCAGUCCCCUCACGUAAUGUUUGGCACUGGGCAAACAAAUGUGUGUGAACUAAAUCUGUCUUUUUUAAUUUGAAACUAUUCAUGUUGUAUAUAACUUUAUUUCUCUAGGUCUUUUCAUUGAAGCCAACCUGUUUUUAUUUGUGUUUGUUUUGUCCCCAGAGAACGCGUGCCAAUCACCCUGGAGAGAUACAAAAACAUCACGACAUGUAUUUUAUUUUGCGGUUGAAAAAUGUCAAUUUAUUUUUUUACUUAAGUAUAUUCAUGUGUGUACUUUUGUACUUUUACAUAAGUAAGGAAGUGGCUUGAGUACUGAAUACGAAUACUAUUGCCAUCUCAUUGAACGAGCUCAUCGAAGUCACGACAAGGACCGACACGGUCGAAGCUUUUCAAACGCGUGCGGUCGUCUUUUGGUGAUGCGGCGAGAGCGAGCCAUCUACCUCCGAUCCCAACUUUUAUUUCAUUACGAUCAUCUUCGACGCCUUAACGUGCGCGAUGCCGUUCGCCUUUCCGUCGCGAGCCGUCUCGGCCACCGUAACGAUGUCGCGGAGCUGUCCGGCCGCAUUGCGGUUAACGCGGUUCAUCUGCUUCGUUACCUGGAAGAGCGUCCACGCGAACGCCGACUCGACCUCGUCGCCCCGCUGCCACGCUUCCCUUCAACACGGGCACACGCGCUUUCGUAAGACGUUAUAAAACUCUUUGAUGAAUAAUUGACGGUCGGCGUCGUCACUUGGUGAGUCGAGGCCGCAGGACGUCCAGGACGGCUUCCAGAAUCCCACCGGCGCCGGCCUUUGCCCCGUUGGCACCGGCCCGUUCCCCCGUCAGCAUGUGGGCGCAGUCUCGCCAGCUUCCCGCUCCGAGCAACGACGCUCGAAGACGACGGGCCGCUUCUCGGGACGCGCGGCUCGUCCACGGCUGCUCCUGCGCCCGGAAAGAAACGCACAUACAGGAACUCGGACACAAACAAGAUACACACACAAAUUGUGACAACUGGAAAAAUGGCGUGCACGUGAGCGCUUGAGUGUGUGCGCGCGCGCGCAUUCUUACCUGCGUGUGCGUGACGGCGUACGCACACACAUGCGGCGCCACGGCCAUGAGGACCCCUCGGGCGCGUCUGUCCGGGCCCGCCGCCUCCACUUUUCCCAGCAGGCCUCGCAGGGCGCCGCACACGCGGGCGGCCACGUCGGGCACGCGCGCGUAGCGAUCGGGCGUCGGGGGGCCGUCGCGGGCGCGCUCGUACGCCGGCAGAGCGGCGCGGCCGAUCAGAGCGCAGACGGCAGAGACGUACGCCGCCUCCAGAGCCGCUUCCCCGUCGGCCGAGUCGAACAGCCGAUGAGGUUCGGCCGUUCGGAAGAAGCCGGCGACCGUAUCCACGAGAAGGCUCGGGUCCGGCGGUCCGCCGAUCAGACGCUGCUGCAGUUUGGACAACAACGCUGUGAUCGGCGGGAGGGUCUCGUCGUCGUCGCCGUCCAGAUGAAGCUCGUCAAGUAACCGUGAAAAUUCAGUCAUGGCCGUCUGAAACGCGACAAGAACUGCAUCAUUGACUUUACAUAUGAAGUUGGUAUUUUUAUUUUCCAAUUGAAAUAUUUGAUUUGCUUACUUUUUAUAUUUCUACAUAUAAAAAUUACUGUUUCCUAUAUCUUGUUUACAAAUGUUUCAUUCAAACAUAUUUUUUUCC
Molecule: RNA transcript, 6792 nt
Organism: Phycodurus eques (leafy seadragon)
Lineage: Eukaryota; Metazoa; Chordata; Actinopteri; Syngnathiformes; Syngnathidae
Gene name: centriolin-like
Exons: 12
Source: RefSeq, a predicted model, not a curated record